AGUAAGUGGGUGCAGGCAGGGCCUGAGUGGUCACUAGAAAUGAGACAGCACAGUUGGUCCCAUCACAUACAUUCACCUCCUGCUUUAUUCUGAAGUUCAAGUGUGAGAAUACGUGUUGACAUACAACCCAGCUAUGGUGCAGUCAGCCUCAAUUUCCGAAGCCGGAAAAGGAUCCUCUAGUAGCCACAGUGUGGCAGCUGCUCUGAACCAGGACCUGGACCCGGACCCAAAGUGCCAUGUCUUCAAUGUUAGCUCCCAGUGAUGCCAGAUGGGAUCAGCACAGCCCUGCCUCUGCUGCUAAUUGUUCCUCUAAAGUAAUCGCCAUGCGUUCUUCGGGCUUCACCUUUAAAGGAAUGAAGCGACUGAGAUUAUUCUGGAAAACCUUUUGGCAGUUAGUGAAAUUAGAGUACAACUAAGAACAUUUUCAGACCUCCACUGUGGAUGACUGGGGUAUAAUCUCACAAAUCGAUGGGACUGCAGGGAUUGUAAACUGAAAUGAACAUGAUUAUACUCUGUUGGAAGAGCCUAAGAGGAAACUGAUGCCAUGAGUUUCAGAGAGUAAUGCUUAACCCCAGUUACACAGGAUGCCGUCUUAUGUUUUCUCUUUUUUAGUUACCCACUACAUUGAUUUUGUGAUCUGCUAAUGGGUUGCCACCCACAACCAUUGCUUUAGCACUUUUACUUCAAAUCAAUGAAGGAUUGAUAAAAGUUCUCCUGGUGUCUCCGCAGAGUGGCUUCCAGGAACAGAUCUUUGCAUAGAAUAUCAGUGGUUUCCUUUUUUGUUUCAAAUAGUGGUCAGAAAAUACCCAGUGUUGACUCACCAAGGCAAUCAGCUUCCUUUUUCCCUUUUUUUUUUUUACAUUUUAUAUUUUUGC
This 875-nucleotide long non-coding RNA is filed under the name Pongo abelii (Sumatran orangutan). RNAcentral's name for it is "lincRNA". The record is from RNAcentral. Lineage: Eukaryota; Metazoa; Chordata; Mammalia; Primates; Hominidae.